RNAcentral lists this ribosomal RNA (775 nucleotides) under uncultured Neocallimastigales. Its description in RNAcentral is "partial large subunit ribosomal RNA". It matches the Rfam family "Eukaryotic large subunit ribosomal RNA", at positions 24 to 646 of the family's 3401-position model. The record is from RNAcentral. Lineage: Eukaryota; Fungi; Neocallimastigomycota; Neocallimastigomycetes; Neocallimastigales.
GUAGUCUCGCACAGAUGCAUAUCAAUAAGCGGAGGAAAAGAAACUAACAAGGAUUCCCCUAGUAACGGCGAGUGAAGCGGGAAGAGCUCAAACUUGAAAUCUUGAAGGGUUUCCCUUUACGAAUUGUAGUUUAAAGAAGUGUUUUCUGUUGAGGUUUUGGUAAAAGUUCUUUGGAAUAGGACAUCAUAGAGGGUGAGAAUCCCGUAUUUGACCUUUACUUUCAACUUUGUGAUACACUUUCAAAGAGUCGGAUUGUUUGGGAAUGCAGUCCAAAAUGGGUGGUAAAUUUCAUCUAAAGCUAAAUAUUGGCGAGAGACCGAUAGCGAACAAGUACCGUGAGGGAAAGAUGAAAAGAACUUUGAAAAGAGAGUUAAACAGUACGUGAAAUUGUCAAAAGGGAAGCGUUUGACACCAGUGUUGUUUUUCUGAAAAUCAAUUAAAGAACUGUUUAUGCUAAGUUGUUUAGACUUUAUCAGCUAAUCUGUUUAGUUUUGAGCUAUUCUUUAAUGCACCUUUCAGUUAACAAGUCAACAUCAAUUUCUUUUGCUGUAAAAAAGCUUGAGGAAGGUGGCUUGAGAUUCGUCUUAAGUGUUUAUAGCCUCUUGCCUAUGCAGUCGGAGAGAUUGAGGUCUGCAGCGUAGAUCCUUCGGGGCUAAAUGCAUUUGUGCUAAGUUAUAGCAUUUUAUAGACAACUUGUUGACUAUGAUUUGUCUUGUAGCUUACUCGCUUAUGUUAUUUUACCUACGCUUAGGAUGUUGAUCUGUAGUGCGUGCGC